Molecule: unclassified non-coding RNA, 347 nt
Filed under: Hevea brasiliensis (rubber tree)
Lineage: Eukaryota; Viridiplantae; Streptophyta; Magnoliopsida; Malpighiales; Euphorbiaceae
Source: RNAcentral
GGUGUUCUAUCAACAAAUUUGUAUUCUCUAAUGAUUUAAGUUUUGAUUUAUAGUUUCACAAAUUUUGUGUUGCGGAAUUCUGCUAUGUUUUGGUUUGUGCAUAAUUGUAAAGGCUAUUGUGCUAGAUAUUACACCCAAUGAAACCAAGUCUUCUGUUUGAGUUACACUUGAUGCAGUAAGGUUUAAGGUUUGAGAUUUGAAGUGGGUUCAACCAUCUAUUUGACUCAUUGCAGAUGUUUAGUUUUGUAGGAGAGCCUUUUUCUCUUCAUUGUGAAACCAUGGAAAUGUAAUAUUGUUUUUUUUUCUUUGUUUGUAAACUUGCAAACUGUUAAAGUAUCAUAUGACAG